RNAcentral lists this ribosomal RNA (471 nucleotides) under uncultured bacterium. RNAcentral describes it as "bacterial SSU rRNA". It matches the Rfam family "Bacterial small subunit ribosomal RNA", at positions 30 to 507 of the family's 1533-position model. The record is from RNAcentral.
AUUGAACGCUGGCGGCAGGCUUAACACAUGCAAGUCGAGCGGAGACUUCGGUCUUAGCGGCGAACGGGUGAGUAAUACCUAGGAAUCUGCCUAUUAGUGGGGGAUAACGAAUCGAAAGGUUCGCUAAUACCGCAUACGUCCUACGGGANAAAGGGGGGAUCUUCGGACCUCUCGCUAAUAGAUGAGCCUAGGCCGGAUUAGCUAGUUGGUAGGGUAAAGGCUCACCAAGGCGACGAUCUGUAGCGGGUCUGAGAGGAUGAUCCACCACACUGGAACUGAGACACGGUCCAGACUCCUACGGGAGGCAGCAGUGGGGAAUUUUGGACAAUGGGCGCAAGCCUGAUCCAGCCAUGCCGCGUGAGUGAAGAAGGCCUUCGGGUUGUAAAGCUCUUUCGGCCGGGAAGAAAUCGCACAGGUUAAUACCCUGUGUGGAUGACGGUACCGGAAUAAGAAGCACCGGCUAACUACGUG